GAUGAACGCUGGCGGCGUGCCUAAUACAUGCCAGUCGAGCGAACAGACGAGAGUGCUUGCACUCUCUGACGUUAGCGGCGGACGGGUGAGUAACACGUGGGUAACCUACCUAUAAGACUGGGAUAACUUCGGGAAACCGGAGCUAAUACCGGAUAAUAUUUAGCUUCGCAUGAAGCAAUAGUGAAAGACGGUUCUGCUGUCACUUAUAGAUGGACCCGCGGUGUAUUAGCUAGUUGGUGAGGUAACGGCUCACCAAGGCAACGAUACAUAGCCGACCUGAGAGGGUGAUCGGCCACACUGGGACUGAGACACGGCCCAGACUCCUACGGGAGGCAGCAGUAGGGAAUCUUCCGCAAUGGACGAAAGUCUGACGGAGCAAUGCCGCGUGAGUGAAGAAGGUUUUCGGAUCGUAAAACUCUGUUGUAAGGGAAGAACAAGUACGUUAGUAACUGAACGUACCUUGACGGUACCUUACCAGAAAGCCACGGCUAACUACGUG
Molecule: ribosomal RNA, 499 nt
Filed under: uncultured bacterium
Lineage: Bacteria
Description: partial 16S ribosomal RNA
Rfam family: Bacterial small subunit ribosomal RNA
Source: RNAcentral